UAACCUGCCCAAGAGACUGGGAUAACACCUGGAAACAGAUGCUAAUACCGGAUAACAACACUAGACGCAUGUCUAGAGUUUAAAAGAUGGUUCUGCUAUCACUCUUGGAUGGACCUGCGGUGCAUUAGCUAGUUGGUAAGGCAACGGCUUACCAAGGCAAUGAUGUAUAGCCGAGUUGAGAGACUGAUCGGCCACAUUGGGACUGAGACACGGCCCAAACUCCUACGGGAGGCAGCAGCG
This 240-nucleotide ribosomal RNA is filed under the name uncultured bacterium. Its description in RNAcentral is "partial 16S ribosomal RNA". It matches the Rfam family "Bacterial small subunit ribosomal RNA", at positions 122 to 356 of the family's 1533-position model. The record is from RNAcentral.